GAUGAACGCUGGCUACAGGCUUAACACAUGCAAGUCGAGGGGAAACGACGGGGAAGCUUGCUUCCCCGGGCGUCGACCGGCGCACGGGUGAGUAACGCGUAUCCAACCUGCCUCUGACUGAGGGAUAACCCGUCGAAAGUCGGCCUAAUACCUCAUGGCAUCGUCUGCGGGCAUCCAACGACGAUUAAAGAUUUCAUCGGUCAGGGAUGGGGAUGCGUCUGAUUAGCUAGUUGGCGGGGUAACGGCCCACCAAGGCGACGAUCAGUAGGGGUUCUGAGAGGAAGGUCCCCCACAUUGGAACUGAGACACGGACCAAACUCCUACGGGAGGCAGCAGUGAGGAAUAUUGGUCAAUGGGCGAGAGCCUGAACCAGCCAAGUAGCGUGCAGGAUGACGGCCCUAGGGGUUGUAAACUGCUUUUAUGCGGGGAUAAAGUGAGGGACGUGUCCUUCAUUGCAGGUACCGCAUGAAUAAGGACCGGCUAAUUCCGUG
RNAcentral lists this ribosomal RNA (491 nucleotides) under uncultured bacterium. Its description in RNAcentral is "partial 16S ribosomal RNA". It matches the Rfam family "Bacterial small subunit ribosomal RNA", at positions 28 to 507 of the family's 1533-position model. The record is from RNAcentral.